This is a long non-coding RNA of Engraulis encrasicolus (European anchovy), 460 nucleotides long. RefSeq lists it as uncharacterized. The record is from RefSeq and is a predicted model, not a curated record. The transcript has 4 exons. Lineage: Eukaryota; Metazoa; Chordata; Actinopteri; Clupeiformes; Engraulidae.
UGUAUGAGAUGCUAUUUUUCACGGCAAUGUUGGACCGUGAUCUGAAACAUGUCAGUGAAGAGUAUUCGUGUCGUUUUCAGAGCGCAGAGCCACUUCGAUCUCUCUGUGAAAGGGAAGUCCAUUUCACCGACCUAGACGACGUCUGCUGCCAGGCGGCUGCUGGAAAUCUCCGUGACGCAUAAAGCAAAUCAAAGGUGCCCCAUGUGAAAACACCUGAAGUGGACAUGGCCAUCCAGCAGAUUCAACAUCAUCCUGCCCAUGAGUGUCACACUAAAAGUGACCGCCCUCAGGACACCUCCACAAGAUGUACAGGAUGCCUGUUCCCAGGGCAAAGAAGGAAGGCCAUUUUGUCAAAACAAAGACAACCUUUGAUUAUGCCAACAAUCUGGUUAAGAUGGUGUUUGAUGAAAUGGUCCUGGAUCCUGGCCCAUUCACCGCAGACCUACUGAGGACCAGUCCA